Molecule: ribosomal RNA, 460 nt
Filed under: uncultured bacterium
Lineage: Bacteria
Description: partial 16S ribosomal RNA
Rfam family: Bacterial small subunit ribosomal RNA
Source: RNAcentral
CCUACGGGAGGCAGCAGUGAGGAAUAUUGGUCAAUGGACGCAAGUCUGAACCAGCCAUGCCGCGUGCAGGAAGACGGCUCUAUGAGUUGUAAACUGCUUUUGUACGAGGGUAAACGCAGAUACGCGUAUCUGUCUGAAAGUAUCGUACGAAUAAGGAUCGGCUAACUCCGUGCCAGUAGCAGCGGUAAUACGGAGGAUUCAAGCGUUAUCCGGCUUUAUUGGGUUUAAAGGGUGCGUAGGCGGUCGGAUAAGUUAGAGGUGAAAUCCCGAGGCUCAACUUCGGAAUUGCCUCUGAUACUGUCCGGCUAGGGAGUAGUUGCGGUAGGCGGAAUGUAUGGUGUAGCGGUGAAAUGCGUAGAUAUCAUACAGAACACCGAUUGCGAAGGCAGCUUACCAAGCUACUUCUGACGUUGAGGCACGAAAGCGUGGGGAGCAAACAGGAUUAGAUACCCGGGUAGUC